RNAcentral lists this ribosomal RNA (664 nucleotides) under uncultured bacterium. RNAcentral's name for it is "bacterial SSU rRNA". It matches the Rfam family "Bacterial small subunit ribosomal RNA", at positions 819 to 1500 of the family's 1533-position model. The record is from RNAcentral.
GAUUCUGGUAGCACUUUUAUGCGGUGUCACUCCAAACGGUUUAAGCAUACGCCUGGGGUGUGCGGUCGCAAGAUGAGAACCCAAUGGAUUUGACGUGGGCCCGCACAAGCGGUGGAGCAUGUGGUUUAAUUCGAAGCGACGCGCAGAACCUUACCAACCCUUGACAUGGAUAUCGAGACUUCUGGAGCCAGAUUUCUUCAGUUCGGCUGGAUAUCACACAGGUGCUGCAUGGCUGUCGUCAGCUCGUGUCGUGAGAUGUUCGGUUAAGUCCGGCAACGAGCGCAACCCACGUCUUUAGUUGCCAGCAUUUAGUUGGGUGCCCUAGAGAGACCGCCGGUGAUAAGCCGGAGGAAGGUGUGGAUGACGUCAAGUCCUCAUGGCCCUUACGGGUUGGGCUACACACGUGAUACAAUGGUAGUGACAAUGGGUUAAUCCCAAAAAACUAUCUCAGUUCGGAUUGGGGUCUGCAACUCGACCCCAUGAAGUUGGAAUCGCUAGUAAUCGCGUAACAGCAUGACGCGGUGAAUACGUUCCCGGGCCUUGUACACACCGCCCGUCACACCAUGGGAAUUGGAUCUACCCGAAGGUGGUGCGCCAACCUACUUGUAGGAGGCAGCCAACCACGGUAGGUUCAGUGACUGGGGUGAAGUCGUAACAAGGUAAC